GACGAACGCUGGCGGCGUGCUUAACACAUGCAAGUCGAACGGAAAGGCCUGCUUUCCCUUGUGGAUUGCGGGUACUCGAGUGGCGAACGGGUGAGUAACACGUGAGUGAUCUGCCCCCAACUUGGGUAUAAGCCUGGGAAACUGGGUCUAAUUCCCGAUAGGACUGCAGGGUGGUGCCUGUGGUGGAAAACGAUUUUCUAGUGGUUGGGGAUGAGCUCGCGGCCUAUCAGCUUGUUGGUGGGGUAAUGGCCUACCAAGGCGGCGACGGGUAGCCGGCCUGGGAGGGUGGACGGCCACAUUGGGACUGAGAUACGGCCCAGACUACUACGGGAGGCAGCAGUGGGGAAUAUUGCACAAUGGGCGGAAGCCUGAUGCAGCGACGCCGCGUGGGGGAUGACGGCCUUCGGGUUGUAAACUCCUUUCGACAGCGAGGAAGCCACCUGGUUGGAAGGGUGGUGACGGUAGUGGUAGAAGAAGCACCGGCUAACUACGUG
RNAcentral lists this ribosomal RNA (494 nucleotides) under uncultured bacterium. RNAcentral describes it as "partial 16S ribosomal RNA". It matches the Rfam family "Bacterial small subunit ribosomal RNA", at positions 28 to 507 of the family's 1533-position model. The record is from RNAcentral.